This is a small nucleolar RNA of Amblyraja radiata (thorny skate), 75 nucleotides long. The record is from RefSeq and is a predicted model, not a curated record. NCBI's taxonomy places the organism in Eukaryota, Metazoa, Chordata, Chondrichthyes, Rajiformes, Rajidae.
UCUGUCUGUGAUGAACAAGUGGAUCGAGUUUUCCAACAAUGAGAAUACUUCACAUGCACUACCAUCUGAGACAUG